Molecule: ribosomal RNA, 473 nt
Filed under: uncultured bacterium
Lineage: Bacteria
Description: bacterial SSU rRNA
Rfam family: Bacterial small subunit ribosomal RNA
Source: RNAcentral
AACGAACGCUGGCGGCGCACCUAACACAUGCAAGUCGAACGAGAAAGUUUCCUUCGGGAAGCGAGUAGAGUGGCGCACGGGUGAGUAACGCGUAGGUAAUCUAUCCUAAUAUUUGGGAUAACAUCGGGAAACUGGUGCUAAUACCGGAUACCCUUCAUUUCUGCCGGGUUAUGGAGGAAAGGUGGCCUCUUCAUGAAAGCUACCGUAUAAGGAUGAGCCUGCGUACCAUUAGCUAGUAGGUGGGGUAAUGGCCCACCUAGGCUACGAUGGUUAGCGGGUCUGAGAGGAUGAUCCGCCACACUGGAACUGGAACACGGACCAGACUCCUNACGGGAGGCAGCAGUGAGGAAUAUUGCACAAUGGGCGAAAGCCUGAUGCAGCAACGCCGCGUGGAGGAUGACGCAUUUCGGUGUGUAAACUCCUUUUAUAUGUCAAGAAAAUGACGGUAGCAUAUGAAUAAGCACCGGCUAGCU